This 714-nucleotide ribosomal RNA is filed under the name uncultured cyanobacterium. RNAcentral's name for it is "bacterial SSU rRNA". It matches the Rfam family "Bacterial small subunit ribosomal RNA", at positions 66 to 822 of the family's 1533-position model. The record is from RNAcentral. Lineage: Bacteria; Bacillati; Cyanobacteriota.
ACGGGACUCUUCGGAGUUCAGUGGCGGACGGGUGAGUAACGCGUGAGAAUCUGCCUAGAGGAUGGGGACAACCACGGGAAACUGUGGCUAAUACCCAAUGAGCGGAGACGUUAAAGAUUUAUCGCCUCUAGAGGAGCUCGCGUCUGAUUAGCUAGUUGGUGGGGUAAAAGCCUACCAAGGCGACGAUCAGUAGCUGGUCUGAGAGGACAACCAGCCACACUGGGACUGAGACACGGCCCAGACUCCUACGGGAGGCAGCAGUGGGGAAUUUUCCGCAAUGGGCGAAAGCCUGACGGAGCAAUACCGCGUGAGGGAGGAAGGCUCUUGGGUCGUAAACCUCUUUUCUCAGGGAAGAAGAAAGUGACGGUACCUGAGGAAUCAGCCUCGGCUAACUCCGUGCCAGCAGCCGCGGUAAUACGGAGGAGGCAAGCGUUAUCCGGAAUUAUUGGGCGUAAAGCGUCCGUAGGUGGCUCUUCAAGUCUGCUGCCAAAGAGUGGGGCUUAACUCCAGAAAGGCAGUGGAAACUGAAAGGCUAGAGAGCCGUAGGGGUAGAGGGAAUUCCCGGUGUAGCGGUGAAAUGCGUAGAGAUCGGGAAGAACAUCGGUGGCGAAAGCGCUCUACUGGACGGUAUCUGACACUGAGGGACGAAAGCUAGGGGAGCGAAUGGGAUUAGAUACCCCAGUAGUCCUAGCCGUAAACGAUGGAUACUAGGCG